CGCUAGCUACAGGCUUAACACAUGCAAGUCGAGGGGCAGCAUGGUCUUAGCUUGCUAAGGCCGAUGGCGACCGGCGCACGGGUGAGUAACACGUAUCCAACCUGCCGUCUACUCUUGGACAGCCUUCUGAAUGGAAGAUUAAUACAAGAUGGCAUCAUGAGUCCGCAUGUUCACAUGAUUAAAGGUAUUCCGGUAGACGAUGGGGAUGCGUUCCAUUAGAUAGUAGGCGGGGUAACGGCCCACCUAGUCUUCGAUGGAUAGGGGUUCUGAGAGGAAGGUCCCCCACAUUGGAACUGAGACACGGUCCAAACUCCUACGGGAGGCAGCAGUGAGGAAUAUUGGUCAAUGGGCGAGAGCCUGAACCAGCCAAGUAGCGUGAAGGAUGACUGCCCUAUGGGUUGUAAACUUCUUUUAUAAAGGAAUAAAGUCGGGUAUGGAUACCCGUUUGCAUGUACUUUAUGAAUAAGGAUCGGCUAACUCCGUGCCAGCAGCCGCGGUAAUACGGAGGAUCCGAGCGUUAUCCGGAUUUAUUGGGUUUAAAGGGAGCGUAGAUGGAUGUUUAAGUCAGUUGUGAAAGUUUGCGGCUCAACCGUAAAAUUGCAGUUGAUACUGGAUAUCUUGAGUGCAGUUGAGGCAGGCGGAAUUCGUGGUGUAGCGGUGAAAUGCUUAGAUAUCACGAAGAACUCCGAUUGCGAAGGCAGCCUGCUAAGCUGCAACUGACAUUGAGGCUCGAAAGUGUGGGUAUCAAACAGGAUUAGAUACCCUGGUAGUCCACACGGUAAACGAUGAAUACUCGCUGUUUGCGAUAUACUGCAAGCGGCCAAGCGAAAGCGUUAAGUAUUCCACCUGGGGAGUACGCCGGCAACGGUGAAACUCAAAGGAAUUGACGGGGGCCCGCACAAGCGGAGGAACAUGUGGUUUAAUUCGAUGAUACGCGAGGAACCUUACCCGGGCUUAAAUUGCAGAUGAAUUACGGUGAAAGCCGUAAGCCGCAAGGCAUCUGUGAAGGUGCUGCAUGGUUGUCGUCAGCUCGUGCCGUGAGGUGUCGGCUUAAGUGCCAUAACGAGCGCAACCCUUGUUGUCAGUUACUAACAGGUUCCGCUGAGGACUCUGACAAGACUGCCAUCGUAAGAUGUGAGGAAGGUGGGGAUGACGUCAAAUCAGCACGGCCCUUACGUCCGGGGCUACACACGUGUUACAAUGGGGGGUACAGAGGGCCGCUACCACGCGAGUGGAUGCCAAUCCCCAAAACCUCUCUCAGUUCGGACUGGAGUCUGCAACCCGACUCCACGAAGCUGGAUUCGCUAGUAAUCGCGCAUCAGCCACGGCGCGGUGAAUACGUUCCCGGGCCUUGUACACACCGCCCGUCAAGCCAUGGGAGCCGGGGGUACCUGAAGUGCGUAACCGCGAGGAGCGCCCUAGGGUAAAACUGGUGAC
RNAcentral lists this ribosomal RNA (1437 nucleotides) under uncultured organism. RNAcentral's name for it is "SSU rRNA". It matches the Rfam family "Bacterial small subunit ribosomal RNA". The record is from RNAcentral.